RNAcentral lists this ribosomal RNA (794 nucleotides) under Melanohalea aff. olivaceoides SL-2012. RNAcentral describes it as "SSU rRNA". It matches the Rfam family "Bacterial small subunit ribosomal RNA", at positions 371 to 1146 of the family's 1533-position model. The record is from RNAcentral. Lineage: Eukaryota; Fungi; Ascomycota; Lecanoromycetes; Lecanorales; Parmeliaceae.
UAUAGCAAUAGCUAGUUGCAUCAUUAUACGAUGAUGCAAGAUCGACUAUGUCGAAUAAAAUUCUAGGUAGAAUUAUGAUAAUGACAUUGUCUGCCUAUGUGUCUUGACCAAAUUACGUGCCAGCAGUCGCGGUAAUACGUAGAAGACUAGUGUUAUUCAUGUUUAAUCGGUUUAAAGGGUACCUAGACGGUAAAUCAAGCUUUAUAAGAAAUAUAGUUAAAGGACUAAUUUACUAGAGUUACUUACGAGGGGGCAUUAAAGUACUACUGGUGUAGAGAUGAAAUUCUGUCAUACCUCUUUUCAAAGGAAAAAAUGAAGGCACAGGUAUAGGCGAAGGCAUCUCCUUAUGUGAUAACUGACGUUGAGGGACGAAGGCUUUGUAUAGCGAACAGGAUUAGUUACCCCAGUAGUCGAAGCAGAAAAUGAUGAAUGUCAUAGAUUAGAGGUAAGUUUAUUCUAUAAAUGAAAGUGUAAGCAUUCCACCUCAUGAGUAAUUUGGCAACAUUGGAACUGAAAUCAUUAGACCGUUUCUGAAACCAGUAGUGAAGUAUGUUGUUUAAUUUGAUGAUCCGCAAAAAACCUUACCACAAUUUGAAUAUUUAUAUUUUUUUUUAUUGUUUUCUUAUUAAUUUUCUUCUAAGAAGAAAGUUAAUAUAGAGGCAAUAAGAUAUAUUUACAAGCGUUGCACGGCUGUCUUCAGUUAAUGUCGCGAGACUUUGGUUAGUUCCAUUAAAUUAACGUAAACCCUUACUUUAUUUUUAUAUAGAGUAGUUCCCCGCUAUAUUGGAUAUGAU